GGAUAUGGUAUGAUAAUAUUGUUAAACUAUUUUUACAAAUACAUAAAAGUUUCCAAAGUACAAAUGCCACAAUAAAUACGUCAUUAAAAGCUCUUUAUCUUAUGCUCAAUUGAAGAUGCUCCCUGGUAGAAUUUGAGAUCAAGUAGAGGGAGCUACACGAGAAAUUGCAAGAGAGCGAGCUGCAAAUCAAAAAGUGAUAUAAGCUCUAUUAUAAAUUCAUACUCAGCUGUCAUAAGAUGACAUUCAUUUUCUGAAAUGGCUCAUAGAUUUCAGUGGUAGUUCGAUUUGCUAUUUGCUUAGCUCAGCCCAUACUACAAAGUGACGUCCUCAUAGAGGAGUUUACAAAUUCAUUGCCAGAUGAAAAACAAAAUUACUGCUUCAAUUUUCAUUUGUACUACAAUAAAGCACAUGUACUUUAAGGCAUAUGCGCAAAAGUGUAAUAAUAUUUUGAAAAAUAACAGAAAUAUACUGAAAAUUUUCAAAAUUACUAAAAGUUCAAGAAGCUUUUCAAAUAAAAGUACCUCCAUGACCGAAGUGAGAGCUUCUGAAUGACUUGUUUUCACUUUAGCUUUUCUAGUUCUUUCUUCCAGCUCUUUCCUCUCUGGCUUAUAGUCAAAACUCAAAAUUAUGAAUCUGUAUCAUUUUGCUACAAGAUGCAAGAUAUUUCUUUAGCUUAAGCCUUCUCUUAUCA
RNAcentral lists this long non-coding RNA (691 nucleotides) under Solanum tuberosum (potato). RNAcentral's name for it is "long non-coding RNA (STUB_LNC008611)". The record is from RNAcentral. Lineage: Eukaryota; Viridiplantae; Streptophyta; Magnoliopsida; Solanales; Solanaceae.